UACUACUACCACUACCACCAUCGAGAGUUAUAGCUUAAAAAAAAAUACAGGCGUCUGAUCUCGGAAGCUAAGCAGGGUCAGGCCUGGUUAGUACUUGGAUGGUAGACCACUUAGGAAAAUCAGGUGCUGUAGGCG
Pteropus vampyrus (large flying fox) is the source of this 135-nucleotide ribosomal RNA. NCBI's taxonomy places the organism in Eukaryota, Metazoa, Chordata, Mammalia, Chiroptera, Pteropodidae. The record is from Ensembl.